AGAAACGCCUCACUCUCCUCCGGCCUCCACCGCUACGAAGAUGCUGCAGCUCGUCCCACCAGCUCUAAUAAUGUGUUUUUGUGUUUUAGUUAACGGGCAACCUGAGGACUCCAGACUGACCGAGAGAGCUUAUGUGUUCUUACAGAAGCAGAAUUUAGUCACGCUGGGGAGUGUCCUCGCAGUGCUGCUGGUGCUCAUGAUUGUCAUGGCUGUCUGUGUCUACAAACCGCUGUCUCGUCGGUGAAAAAAGGGGGCGAAACGCUUUUAGGAGAUAAAGACAGAGACAACCCUGCUGUCUGCCCGGUGCAAAGUGACACCUGCACUGAGCUACUCGGCCCCGGAACCGCAACCAACUCCUGGAAAGACCAAACUGAGGGCGAACCCGAGCUCUGCCAGCACCGAAGACAUCCACAGUACAAAGGAGACACCUGAAUAAACGAGUGGAGACCAUAGACUGUAUGUAAAAGGUGGAGACCCUGAUGCAGACGCUUGCACGCAUGUGCACUGCAUAAUAAAAUUAAGCAGUUAAUGUAAAAUCAUGCUCUGUGUCAGUUAUAAAAAUGCUGAGCAGGCCCAGUUGAUUCUGAUGCUUGUGCAUUAGUGCGCUAUGUAAGUGAAAAACACAAGAGCAACUUUUCUUCAGGAGACUGAGAAUGUCUUUGCAAAACAUGAUCAUACUGUCAGCAAGAACAGCCUGUCGACAAUUAAGUUACAACGAGAGGGAUAUUAACUGUAGGGUAGCAGUGCAUAAUCCCUGCGUUACAAAGAUGGAUGCAUAUUCUAAAUGACAAUAAUAACAUUCUUCCUUCGUGGUAGCUCUGUAUGCUACACAAUCCAAUUGUCCAAUAGUAUUCUUUCAUUAUGGGUUAUAUCCAGAGUAGGGAUGUUGGAUUGGAAUGACUAUGACCAUAUUUAGCAACUAGCCAACCAAAUAUUUUCACUGCAGAUAAAUCAUCUAAACUGUAAAUUGUCUUCAAAAUGUUAACACUUGACCUGACAAUAAAGAUCCCCACUCUUUUUAAACA
Molecule: long non-coding RNA, 1025 nt
Organism: Micropterus salmoides (largemouth bass)
Lineage: Eukaryota; Metazoa; Chordata; Actinopteri; Centrarchiformes; Centrarchidae
Exons: 2
Source: RefSeq, a predicted model, not a curated record